AACGCGAAGAACCUUACCUGGGCUCGAAAUGUUGUGGACCGGGGUAGAAAUAUCCCUUCCCCGCAAGGGGCCGCAAUAUAGGUGCUGCAUGGCUGUCGUCAGCUCGUGUCGUGAGAUGUUGGGUUAAGUCCCGCAACGAGCGCAACCCUUAUCUUCAGUUGCUACCAUUUAGUUGAGCACUCUGACGAAACCGCCUCGGAUAACGGGGAGGAAGGUGGGGAUGACGUCAAGUCCUCAUGGCCUUUAUGUCCAGGGCUACACACGUGCUACAAUGGCCGGUACAAACCGUCGCAAACCCGCGAGGGGGAGCUAAUCGGAAAAAGCCGUCCUCAGUUCGGAUCGCAGUCUGCAACUCGACUGCGUGAAGCUGGAAUCGCUAGUAAUCGCGGAUCAGAACGCCGCGGUGAAUACGUUCCCGGGCCUUGUACACACCGCAUAC
This 439-nucleotide ribosomal RNA is filed under the name uncultured bacterium. Its description in RNAcentral is "bacterial SSU rRNA". It matches the Rfam family "Bacterial small subunit ribosomal RNA", at positions 958 to 1397 of the family's 1533-position model. The record is from RNAcentral.